ACCUUCAUCCCCAGCUCUCUAGCUGCCGUCUCGCAUCUUUCUCCAGGGCACCUUCAUCCCCAGCUCUCUAGCUGCCGUCUCGCAUCUUUCUCCAGGGCACCUUCAUCCCCAGCUCUCCAGCUGCCGUCUCGUCAGCUUCCCCUUGCAGCUCUUCCUCUCCCUCCCCAUCUAAGGGAGGCAAUUUACACUCAAGAUCUCGCAUACUCUUUCUGAAAGCAGGGGUGGUUGAAGGUGUGGCUCCUAGAUAGAUCGAAGCUGCAAAUUUGGGGUAUCUUUUUAGUUCUCACACUCAAACAGGAAGGCCACUUGAGUUACACCUACUUCUGCACAUGACUCGCUUCAGAUGAAGCAAUACUUGCCGCUGGGGCAGAGGAAGGGAGAAGCAUGAGGUCACCUAGAGGAAACUGCACAGAAGCUCCUCUUGCCUGGCAGACAGGCUCAGGAGCAGCCAAGGACGCAGGCUGACCAUGCCUCUAAUUAGAUCAUGAACCUCUGUGAGCUACUUCAAAGAAAGCACUCUCCCGGCAUUGGUGGAAGGCACUCAGCAGGACUCAAGACCCUGCCUGGCAUUCAUUCCCUAUUUUUCACUAUUGCCUCUCCCAAGUACAGUGUAAGUCCCUUGACAGCAGAAAUGCUGCCAAAUGCUCCUGCAUUCUCUAUUCCUGCCACGGAACUAGGACAGAGACGGCGCUGAUGGAAACCAGUUAAAAUAUUCUGGUUUCGUAAUGAACACUCAGGAGCUUACAGGAUGAAAAAAUAAACACACAGAAAAGAGUGGUAAUAAUUUUUAAUAGUUUACAGCUACAGUAUCAGGUUUAAUGAAUAUAUAUGUAUAAAUAGAGUUACAGGCCAUAAAUAUCCAUAUAGCAAAGUAUCUGCCUCUAGGCAGAGAGAGCAAAAAAAACAAAAACUUUGCAACUAAAUAAACUAACAGCUUUAAGUAAUACUGAAGGAAAACAGAUGCUGAGGUAAUUUUUCGUCUAAAGUGACUACAGCCUAUAUUAAAACAUUCUUACUGUAAGAGUUCAAGUAGUUAUGAAACCCUAGUCUCAUAACCCAAAACUGAACUUUUCACUAACAGACAUUUUAAACUAAACAAAAAAUAUUUUAAUUAUAAAUAGGUAAAAUAAAUAAAAUUAUUCCUGCUGAAAUUUAAUCAUGACAUUAUUACUUCUUUUUCAUAUAUUUGGGGACUUUUUUGAUAGCCUGGCCUCUUAAUAAUUUUUAAAAAAUGAAAUACGUGAAACUCUUCUCAGACUCUACAUAUUAAUAUUACUCUAAUGCAAAUUAUAUAUGUGUAUAUAUAUUCAUGUAUGUAAAUGGAUUUUCAUUCUGGAUGAGCAAUCUGUUCCUUUUUUAAAAAAAAAAAAAGUAAAUCCCAAUUAUGAAACAUGCUUAAUUUCUCCUAAAAGAUCACUUUAUAUAGGCUGCUUACUAGUUGACUAGCAUGAGAAAGGGCAUUUUAUAGAUUUUAAAAACUUCUGUAGGAAACACGUUCAUCUCCUUACCAACAGUUACUAUAGAACAUUUGUUUUGCAAAGUUUUAAUUACAACAGUAAAAAAUCGAAUUCAUUUUUUUUUCAUUAUUCCUGGUUGUGCAAAAAUCCCCAUACUCUUUAUCCUUCAAUAUUCAACCUGCAAGAAUUUUACUGGCACCAAGUAACAUUCCUAUACGUCUAUCGAGUUUUUUCAAAGUAGACACUUUCCAGUUGUGGCCCACAGGAACACAUUUAAUGAAAGGUCCUCUGAACAGAAGCAAUACAUUUUGAGUCAAAAGAAACAAACUACCAGGUUAUUUUAUAAUUUGUAGUGACCUAUAAAAUCGACAUUCACUAUGACAUUCAGUGUUCUCAGAAGGAAACUUUUACUUUUAAAAAAAUUAUAUAUAUAAACCAAAUAUACACUGUUCUGGAGUCGUCAUCCAAAAGUAGAAGCAAACACUGAACAUCCUCCGUUUGCUGACCCCACCAAGUCUAACCAUUUGUCAACUCCUCUUUAUGCUAGGCUGAGCAGCAACUUUCAGCAAAAAUACUACAACGAUUCCCUAAGCAAAACAAAAUGUAUACAUACUUAAUUCCCUAUUUUCAAAGUUCCUCCAUUCUUGUUUUAAAAUAAACAAAGUGGUUUUACAAUGUUCUCAUAUCCCAAAGAAUGACUUCUGGGAAACCUCCAACAGAAAUUCAUUUUUGACGUAUUCUAUCUUCGUUUCCAAGGGCAUCCAAAAGCGAACAAGAGUGCCUUCACAUUGCUCUCCACGUCAAGACAGUCUCUCCUCUAAUUGAUGGGGAUCAACACCUUCCAUUUUAAGGGGGUCUCCUCAUCCAGAGGCUCCUGGAGCAGUCAGGUUCCUGAGCGGAAGAGUUUGGCUAUGAGAUUCAGAAGUUUCUGCCGGAAAUUCAGUUUGUCUCCAAUUCUCCUAAUUUGAAUGGCACACUCAGCCUCAAGCUCUGAAAAGGAAAGCAAGACAUGCAAAUUACACUGACGAUAUUACAAACUGCAGCCAGCAAGGUUCUGCCCAGCCAAAGGAUAAAUUGAGUAUUUAUUCCAUGAAGCAUUUCUCUUAACUUCAGCUUUAUGUACACUUGUUUUCUGAAUGUGAGAAAGGCUACUUAGAACACACACUCACGACAUAAGAUAACACAUUGUGACUCAUAAACAAAAAAAAAUAGUUAAGGUAAGAAAAAAGACAUUUACUUUGAAACAUUUUUUUUAAAAGCAUUCUGGAUGAGGCAAAUAGUAUCUUACUUUCACAUACGGCCAUUUAAAGUGUCAAACACCACAAAGAGUGAGUAAGCCUUUGCCAGACUUAAAAGGUGAUGUCAUCCUUUUCUCUCUCAUUUAAGGUUGGUUGGGGGAACAGAAGUCAAAUUCUAAACUCUUGUGUUGUUUUCAAGUAGGAUUUAUCUUUAAAUGGCAAGAAGUCAUAGCUCGGAUUAUGCCCUCAUUAAUAGGCCAAUCUAAAUAAAUGUAUUCUUUCCUCAUUGGAAAAACUCAUUGAAAUUUUCUCAUAAAAGACUCAUAAAAUCUUAUUCCAAAGUUAAGAUCACAUUCUCUAAAAUAAUUUAGAAGUUUGCAUUUUACUCUGAGCCAAAUUCUUCGUAUGAGCCCAAUCUGCACCAAUCCAUUGCUUUUAUGGAGAUGAGGUAAGCAGAAAAUAAGUGACAUCUAUCUCAUGUUAACUACUUUUUAGAAUUGAGAUAUUAUAAUUAACUGAAUAUUAACAAGAAAAAUAAUGCUUAUAAUCUAAUUUCCAAGUAGAUAUUUUUGGGUAAAUGAAAUUAACACCAAAUCUAUACUGACCAUAAUUUCAAUUUUCUUGGAUAUUUCAAAGAGCAACUUAGACUCUUUUUGGUCCACUUUAAGAUCAUGAUUAUGAACAUUAAAAAUCAUUAUGACCACAAAUUAAAAUCCAGUUUAUUUUGUAAAUAGACCCUGCAAAGACUCUAUUUAGGCUCAAAAUAAAUGAAAACUGCAAAUGUAUGGUAAAGCAGAUUUUUAAAUCUACAUUUCAACCAAUUUCUCUUUCUACAAGAGGUGGGUGAAAUUUUCAUAAUCCCUAACAAGAGACCUAAUAAAUCUCCUAAGAUGCCAUUCUUUUAGGCUACAGAGUCAAACAUUUUGAGAAGUAUUUAUAAACACAUGUUCUUUUCAUUGAGUGGGAUAUAUGAACACACCAAAAACAUAAUUAUCCUAAAAAAAUAAUUAUCAUCCAACAUGAAAUUUUGGAAGCCCUGAAUUAUAAAAGGAAAAAUUAUCCCUUUCACCAAAAAAAAGGGCAAAAAGAAGCUCCUAGUUGUUUCCUUAACCUUGUUGUUACAGUUACACAUCUAUAAACGUACUAAUCGUUUUUAAAAAUUUGUAAUUAUGUGUGGUGACUGUUAACUAAGCUUCUUGGGGUAAUUAUGUCACCAUAUAAACAUAUACCAAAUCAUUAUGUUGUACACAAAAAACUAAUCCAACGUUCUAGGUCACUGAUAUCUCAAUUAAAAUUAUUACUAUCUAAUCAAGUUUAAGAGGGACCUUGCUGCUGUUUCUUGUGAUUUGGGACUAGGUUGGAUCAGUGAGGUUAUGCAUAGGUUAGACCUUUUGAAAACAUGAUUAGAAGUCUUGGGCCAUCACAAAAGGUGGACAAAGCUUUUUCUCUCCCAAGGGAGACCCAGACAGCAGCCUGGUGCCAACUUAGCCAUGGCCACACUGGAAACGUACCACUUUCUUUGCACGCCCCACGGGCUCUAUAAAAUGAAACUAAAUUAAAAGGGGGCCUAUCACAGUCUGAUGUAAUAGCAGUAAGACUCACAGGGAUUUCCAGCCGAGCCCUACUGUCGCCUCUGCGGCUGCCCCUUAGCAGAUAGCCGCCUUGUCGGUUCUGGGAAGGAAGCUGGGAGGACACUUCUUAUUCAGAACUGAUCGGGAGGAAUGAUCUACAGGUAGAUGACGGAGCCAUCCUGUUCGCCCGGAGUCAGAGGAGAGAUGCUUUCAAACAUCUUCAUGGAGAAAGAUGCCGCUUAACACUACUCUGCUGAUGCGGC
Molecule: long non-coding RNA, 4529 nt
Filed under: Equus caballus (horse)
Lineage: Eukaryota; Metazoa; Chordata; Mammalia; Perissodactyla; Equidae
Description: lncRNA (ENSECAG00000051940.1)
Source: RNAcentral